Molecule: long non-coding RNA, 4582 nt
Organism: Osmia lignaria (orchard mason bee)
Lineage: Eukaryota; Metazoa; Arthropoda; Insecta; Hymenoptera; Megachilidae
Source: RefSeq, a predicted model, not a curated record
CUUAAUCGUUACUCUUUCAUCCGUAUUGCUUCAUUCUAUCCCGAUCGAUGGCCUCUGAAAGUGGUGCACAGUGGUUGCAUUUGGAAAUUUGGGGGUAUCGGGUAGUCACGGUGUAGGUUGAAGAUAUUUCUAAUCCGUAGUAGUACACGUGGGCCGUAUAGAAUUCUACAGGGUGCACCAGCCGAUGGAAAUGAUGUAACGCGGUCGUAAAAUCGCGGGUGGGAAGUUUUAUUUAUGAGAUAUUUAACGAUAGCUUGGAAAGUUUCAUUUGGACUCGGUUAGGCUAGGUGAAGAUAGGGUCAGAUAUUAACUAUGGAAAGUUAGUAUUUUGUAAUUAUAUUCAUAGCUGAUGGCGUAUUUACUCAUUAAUUAUAUUAAAGCGAAGUUAUGAUACUUGUAGAUAAACUACUUUUUUUUUAUUUUAUUAUAUCUUAUCGCACUGUAUGUAGUUUUAGAAGUGAACAGUCAGGGGGACAUUUGCGAGAAUGGAUUAACAUUUAGGGUACUUGUAGCACUGAAACUGAAUUGGAAAAAAGCAAGUAGGAUACAUUAGAAAACAUUGAAGAUGUAUUUAAUUUUAUGUAUGCAUUUAAAUCUUCAUUUUGUUUGGUAUGUUUAAUUAAACAGCAAAGUCUGGCUCAGGCAGAUGUUACAAAAGACAAAAGGUUUCUGGUUAAUUGAAUGUUCGCGAAAUGUUCUGAUCUUCUCCAUUCUGUGGAAGCAAUAGCCUUCGAUUGAAGAUGCGCCGUUUGAAAUAUAAUUGGAGGAUCGUAUUUCGCUAAAGAUGAAAGGAAUUCAAGUAAUGCUCAUAUCGGAUGUCUAAUUUGUUCUUAAAAUUAUUAUAUUCAUCUUCUCAUUUAUUCCAUUAAUGAAAAAUGGAGCUUAAAUCAUUCCACUCAGCUGUAUCGUCCAUCGACGAUAUUUCCUCGUACAAGAUCGAGUCUUCGAAUACAGUUAAAAUAGGCAUGACCGUGUUGCUUAAACUAUAUAUAAGAUACGACGAGGCGGACGAGGAUGAAUCUCUGAAGAGAAGAACAAAGGUGGAAUCGCGUGAAUGCAAAUUCUUGGCUGCACGUGUGCAUACUUUGGUUCGCUUGUUGUUCCUAGCUUAAUACUAAAGCAAUCAGACUCGUCAUAAAAAUCAUCGAUCGCCAAAUUUUUAUUUCGAUAUUGAUAUUGAUUCACUAGGUAUUCUAAAUUUAUUUUACGUCCUCUUUAUCGAAUAUCUUCUAAAGGUCAUCCACGAAUUAUAUUUAUUAAAAAAAAAAAAAAAAGCAAAUUCUUUUUUUCAUUUCUUACUUUGAUAUUUUCAGCCUGUUUCGUAAGAAGUGUCCUCGUUCUUAUCAACAUUUCGAAAGGUGACAUCACGUUUAUAUACGAUCCAUCGAAGCGAAGACACUUGUGGACAUGGUUUAACAUUUUUCUCCGGUUUUUCUCCUCUUCGCAAAGUUGAUUUUUCUCUGGAAACACGGGCCAAGAGUGAGAAAACGAUAACGCAUCGUAUCUGAUGAUAAUAUUUACACGUCGCGACGUUUUAUCGUUUUAGUCACCCUUCGAUCCGGUUAAGGGACUUCUUUUUCACGAUUUUAUCUUCUCCUUGUACUCUGUUUACAGAUUUCAAUUCGUUUUUGCCUCAAAAAGUAAACAUUAAAAUUUUUUUCUUCUUCAGAGUCUCCAAUCUCAAUCGAUAGUUCUCCGGAUAAUGGAAAAGGAAGAAAUUUAAUCUUCUUAUCGAAGAAAUGACAGGAAAUGUAUCAAGGAUUGCUUUUCAUUUAUGAUAAGGGAUUAACGGGAGAUUUAAUUGCAUCGGCUAUUUAAUGACAAUUAAAUCUUGUUUAGAGAAGGAAUGAUUAAACUCUGCAUCUGCAGAUGAGUCACUGCCACAAACGACUGUGUAAUAAUUCUUAUCCGAAGACGUAAUUAAGAGAAAUCGUUGUUAAUUGAACCGUUGAUACUCGGUUAAUUCAAACAACGUUCCCAUACUGAUCUAUCUCUGGCAUAAUUGUAUUCAAAUUGAAUUUCCUCUAGUUCAACGGAGCAUACGUAUACACCCACGAUUCUCAGUUUAAUCGAAUCGCCAAAAGUUCAAUUUCAGAAGUAUAAAUAUUAAUGUUACAAUUUUACCGUUUCACAAAAAGAAGCAGCAAGCAGGCAUGGGUUUAAUCUUCCGUCGGUUCGCAUAAACAAUCCUCACGGUUUAUAUUCUAGCCAUUUGGUGCGCUUAAACGAAUUCUAGAUAUUUUACUGAGAAUUUGGAUCUUUGUUUACAGCCAGUUACAGACAAAGGGUGCUCGACGAAGGUCCGUCGUAAAAAUCGACGCCAAGAAACGAACAGGUUCAGUGUUUUUUUUCCCUCCAAGGGUCCUGGUAGACGAACUUAGAGGCCGAAUCGAAGAUAGAUGAAUAAAAAUGCUGUUCGUUACGAGACUGAAUGUUUUCAUUAAACUGAACAGAUUAAAUUGCACUUCGAUCGGAAUAUCGCGGAUACAAAUGACCCUUGAUGGUGAUCUUCUUUUCGCUGAGAGAAUCCGCAAGGAUAAAACGAUCUCGUUAAAAUGAAGGACCCUUGUGGAGACAACGGGGGCAGGCUCGCUUGUUACUUGGAUUGAAUUAAUUCGAACGUGGGUAGGGGGGUUUCUUGAGAUAACGAUCGUAUUGUCAAGACUGAGGAGAAGGUAAUUUGAGGAUGAAGGAUUCUUUAAAAUGUUGAAAUGAACGGUGUUCAUGCGGACCGACGAGAGUAUACCUAUUAUGGAUAUUGACCUGAAUAUCGAGUACACAUAAGUGGGGUUUGCCCUGGCUUCAUUGAAUAAAUACACCUUUGUUAGAUCAUCGAUAAAUCAUUCUGAUAAAAUCUCUCUUUAAACAAUUAACUGAGUACACAUUGCAAAAAUCGUGGUUUGACUUUUUAUUAUAAAUGAAGUGCAAACAAAUUUAAUGAAAUUAUGUAAAAAGUAGAACUCACAAGCAGGCUUUUUAAUUUCCACUUGAAAAGAAAAUUUGACUUUGUAACCAACGGGUGAGGUGAUUGUUUUCCGGAAAUGUAAAGUAACAGGAUCACAGAAAAGCAGCAGAAUUUCAUAACUCCAUCUAAAGAUGCUCAUGAAUCAGUGAAACAAAUGACAUCAUAGUGGUUUCCGGAUUUUUCUGAAUUAAUUCAAGAACGAGUUAUCAAAUAUUACUCAACGAUUCUAAAAAUACAAAAGGAUUGUUCGAUGGUCGUUGGUUUUCUCAGAAAUACUGUUUACCAGAAGAAAAUUUUUAAUAUGCCCGAUCGUAAUGCCGUAGAAGGAAAUUCUUAUCUAGGAAGUAGCGAAAUCCCAGAUCGAGGUGAAAGUAAAUUUAUUUCCUAUUCAUUAUCAUAUUUUUUUUUUUAAUCCGAUAGCGACGAAACGUAAUUUAAUAGACUUCCACCGGUGCAUUUUAAUCGAUUAUUCUUUUUCAAUCUCCAAACGGUGAACAGGCGACGGUUUCCGGAAAUGACGUUAAAAUACGAUUCGAUUGAAAGUGAAAAAUGUUGCAACUUGUUUCCAAGAAUAUUACAAGCAGUAAAACAACUUCGAUCGCGUUACAACGCGUUCGAUGUGAAACGAAUCGCGGCGAACGAAUAUGAACGUCGACAAGUACCCGAGGAGAGUUACUGAAGCGGCUCUUUGCAAAUAUCACGUGUCAUUAUUAGUGACGCGUCGAAAUAUAUGAUCGCUAGAUCUGGUGAAAGGGAAUCUCUCCUCUCUUUCGCAUUUUCCAUUCGUUUCGCAUGGUGUUUCAGUCUCCUGUAACUUAUACCAGGUUUAAGUAAAACAUAAAACGUGAUAAAGUAUCUUCAGAGAUACCUGUAUUUUCAAAAGCUCACUAGGAAUAAUUUCUCCGGCUUCUUCGUCGUCACCGGGACGGAACUGGGAAAUCGUGAAAAACAUGAAUGAAAAGUAGCACGCAGACAAAAGAGAAAGGGCAAAAAACGAUUCUGGUUUCACGCUAGAGCUUUAUAUUCAUCGCGCGAAAGCUUUUCAUUAUUUCGAAGCUGGAUCGCGAGAACCGCGGGAAACAUCGGGGCGGGGGACCAGUUCGCAGAUUUUGUUCCAUUUUUCUCUACUCGGUACUCCAGCACGGAACGAGCCACUGGAAGAUCAACCGGAGCGAUAAAGAGGUUAAAAUAGCGGCGCGUCGAACCGAGAAACUAGCCCAGCAAUUUAGAGGGAGGAAAUAAUGUGCAACGAGUCGAAUGAAAUCGUUAAUUAAGAGCUUCGCGCUUUAUGACUCCAUGCGAUCUUUGCCGCGGCGAACCGUGUAAUACGCCCUACCGUUUCGAUUGCUUUUGUUAUUCAAUCGUAUACCUAUACGCCAGAUGAAAAAUCUGCAUUUGAUUCUAUUCAGGCGAUUAUGCUUUAAUCAAUAAUAAGAGCUAGAUGGGAGCGUAAAAUCAACCUACACGGUGAUUUAAUAUAAUUUCAAGAUGAUAGAGUGUGAUUGAGUAUGUAAAACACCUUAAUAGAAGAGUUUUCAUUGUCUCCUCUUUGGAGGCCUCGAUAUGGGAGAUACCUCGUUAAAUGGUGAAAUUUAAUUAAAAAAAAUAUUUAAAAUU